This 625-nucleotide ribosomal RNA is filed under the name Acinetobacter sp. BT1A. Its description in RNAcentral is "bacterial SSU rRNA". It matches the Rfam family "Bacterial small subunit ribosomal RNA", at positions 1 to 626 of the family's 1533-position model. The record is from RNAcentral. Lineage: Bacteria; Pseudomonadati; Pseudomonadota; Gammaproteobacteria; Moraxellales; Moraxellaceae.
UAGGGGUUGAUCCUGGCUCAGAUUGAACGCUGGCGGCAGGCUUAACACAUGCAAGUCGAGCGGGGGAAGGUAGCUUGCUACCGGACCUAGCGGCGGACGGGUGAGUAAUGCUUAGGAAUCUGCCUAUUAGUGGGGGACAACAUCUCGAAAGGGAUGCUAAUACCGCAUACGUCCUACGGGAGAAAGCAGGGGAUCUUCGGACCUUGCGCUAAUAGAUGAGCCUAAGUCGGAUUAGCUAGUUGGUGGGGUAAAGGCCUACCAAGGCGACGAUCUGUAGCGGGUCUGAGAGGAUGAUCCGCCACACUGGGACUGAGACACGGCCCAGACUCCUACGGGAGGCAGCAGUGGGGAAUAUUGGACAAUGGGGGGAACCCUGAUCCAGCCAUGCCGCGUGUGUGAAGAAGGCCUUAUGGUUGUAAAGCACUUUAAGCGAGGAGGAGGCUACUUUAGUUAAUACCUAGAGAUAGUGGACGUUACUCGCAGAAUAAGCACCGGCUAACUCUGUGCCAGCAGCCGCGGUAAUACAGAGGGUGCGAGCGUUAAUCGGAUUUACUGGGCGUAAAGCGUGCGUAGGCGGCUUAUUAAGUCGGAUGUGAAAUCCCCGAGCUUAACUUGGGAAUUGCAU